Long non-coding RNA from Neofelis nebulosa (Clouded leopard), 6913 nucleotides. RefSeq lists it as uncharacterized. The record is from RefSeq and is a predicted model, not a curated record. Lineage: Eukaryota; Metazoa; Chordata; Mammalia; Carnivora; Felidae. The transcript is spliced from 2 exons.
UCCUUCCCUCUUCCUUCCUUCCUUCCUUCCUUCCUUCCUUCCUUCCUUCCUUCCCUCCCUCCUUCCUCUCAUAAUUUUCUGGGAACACCGUGGGAAGAAAAGUGUGGCUGCCACAUCCCCUGUUGCUCAAACCUCUAGGCCUUCUGUUUUGCUAGUCCUGCCUCCCCAAGCUCACAGGUCUGAAGACACGACAAGAGCAAACACUCUUGGCACCCCGAGGAGGUUGGUGACCCCGGUAAAUGGCAAGCAUGAGCAUCAGGGGUUAUUAGAGACAGAGAUGGCAUCUUGCCAUAAGAAAUUGGAGAGCCAGUAACGAUUCCGAAAAUACCUGUGAUCUGCAUUAAGACAACUGUAUAAAUAAAGAACUAAGUGACUCGACCCUUGGAGAGUUGUUUCGAGAAAACCGUUCCUAAAAACGUAUCACAAUCCAACUGGGCCUUGAGGACCACGGUGCCAAGCCAAACUCAAAGAGAAGAUGCACAAACUCAACGAGAAGAUGUUUUCCUUAGUGUGGAGUCAUCGGGGGGACACGCCAUGAACUUGGUCCAAUGAGCAAUGAAAUGCUUUGAAAAUAUUUAAAUGGAUGUGUACCGUAAAAUAAUGUGGAACGGGCGUCUACAAUACCUUUUGAACUUUCCUCCUGGCUGUCCUCACACGUUUUACACAUCGGGGGUGUUGCUGAAAACUUGAGUGUGAAUCCAUAUGCUAAGUGGAAUUAGGUUUUAAAUAUUCUAGGGAUACUCCUGGCAUGGGGGAACCCCGUAUCCGUGAAGAAGCCACAGAGAAAGUCAGUACCUACACCAAUGGUCUCCGCUCUGUUUGGACGGCCCCCCGCCCCUGCCCUCGGCCUGUGAAGAGCCUUUGAGGACACGCAUCAGCAGCGCCUUGCUCUCACUGCUGGGUCAGGGGAGGAAAGGGCCGGUCCUGGGGAAGGGUCAAGGGCAGGCUGUUUUGUUCUCCGGCAGCAAAACAGAGCAGGCGAGAGGAAACCACCCAAGUGAUGAGCUCUGCAGAGGACAAGUGAAGCCUGAGUCUAAACACAAACGUGGAGGAGCUCAUCUCCUUGGAGCUGUUUAUAUUACAUAACUCAAAUAAACACAGCAGCGCGAGAUCGGUUCCCUUGGCGAGGGCCAGGACCACAGGGCCGAGAGGCAGACAAAGGGCGUCUCCUCCCGCCCCGCUCAGAAACGGGCUUCCUUAAAACAACGACCCGACUACAGCAACACUAAUAACACACAGGGACACACCAGCAGGGUUUAGCAGGAUACCCUGAAUAAACUAGACCAGAGCCACUCUAAUGAGGACUGGAAGGUGUCUUUCUUUUCUCCGGCUAAGCAACAGACCCUGAUCAGAGCGAGAAGAAACAAAACUGACCCUGGAAUGAUUCUUUGCAUUUGCAAAGGAGGGAAGCCAGUCACCUGCGGUGGUUCUCUCAGUACUCAGAGCCGCUGGGAAACCAGGGAGGACCACAGUGGCUACCUGCCCAGGCAUCGGAGGGGCAGCCGACCUUCUCAGACUUCAGCCCUUUGCCGCCCCGAGGCAAAACAGGGGGGUACCCCAGCCUCUGGGAAGCAUCGGGCAGUUUCCAUGGCAUCUAUGUGAAGAAGAAGUAGAAGAGGAAGAAAAAAAGAAGUUUCCAACUCGGUAAAUGAGCACAGGCGCACAGGCCCGAUGUCUGAACGAAAUCAGAGAGCCUUGGAAUUGAGAGCAGGCGAGAACCUACUGAAACUUCUUUUUCGUCAGUGGCCUGCAGUCUCCUGGGACACAAGCCCUAUCGUAUGCCAGGGGACAAGAAUAGAACCAAAAAUUGAGAACACAGCCCUUAGCACGGGCUGAUGGCAUUGGUUGCCAACAGUUGCCCCAUUAGUAGGCUAUGGGGACAUGCUAGGGAACAUUUUCUCUACGAGGCUUGUGUUUAAAAAUAUAUCUUGCUUCAGAGCUGGCCCUAGGCGUGGCUGGGGAGUAAGAGCCUCCUUUUUCCGUGCUGAGAAGGUGCCAGUCACUCUGUGAUUUACUGCCGAUCCCUUACCCCUCUGAGCCUGCCCCUUACGUGCCGUGUGACAGUCACCCAGACCUCAACCCGGCCUGUGGCAAGUUAAUGUUUCAGACGAUUCCUGGAUGGAAGCCACGCUCCAGGGUCGCCCUCCCCCAUGAAGUUGCUGGAUGCACGCAGGGCCAGGGCUGAAAGACAGUGGUCAUUACAAAGGGCUCUGACCUCUUCUCACCCUGUGGAUGUGUCCCUGGAGACAUUUCUCUCUCCAUUUCCUUAUUCCCAGACGGAGGCAACAGUUCCUGCCCACGUCCCAAGGAUGUUUAGAAGUCAUGGCUAACGGAAAUGACCGAGAAGCUCUUGGCAGAUGCCCAGUUCAGAAUUGCGUGCUGAAUGACGGCCUCCCUCACCCACCCUCUGUACCGCAUUACCUACGUGCCCUGCUCUCACCGCUCUGCUGACCACCCUGGGGCGCGAAGCCGGUCUGCCCAGAGGUCCUGGGGUCCGCUAGAGAAGGUUCCCUUUUCGGGAACCACUGCGAUCCCCGCAUGGCCGAACUCGUAUUUCGGGUCGGAAACAACAGGUGAUGCAUCUGGCCGCGGGCACCCAGGGCUUGGCGCCCCUUCCCCCAGAGGGGGUGGAAGUGAAUCAAUCGACAUGGUGGGGUCAAGUUUGAGCGUGCCUUGGCGAAACCCUGGGGACCUCCUUUCUUGAAAAACAACUGGGACAGGGUGACAGCUGUUCAAGGAUGCCAAAGAAAAGGGUCCCCCGGGGAAACCUCCCCAGGGAAGUCUCUGCCUGCAGGAGGCUGUGAGUGACACAGAAGACAGUCGGCAGAAGUGGGCACAGCCCGGCCCGGGUGAACUCUCCGGGUAGCCAGCGAUCAGAAGCACCGUGCACGUGUAAAAUCUGGUGGUAACGAGGACCGUGGUGGCAGCGGUGACAUUGACUAUCACAGACGGUGGGGCCUAUCGAACUGUUCUGAAGCUGUGGCCCCUGUAAGGACUUGGCUGCAAAAUGGCUACCAUAUUAGAAUCGUCACAGCUCUUUUGGCCUUUAUUUAUUUUUAUUUAUUUGAGAGAGAGAGAGAGAGAGAGCAGGAGAGGGGCAGAGAGAAAGAGAGAGAAUCCCAAGCAGGCUUCACACUCAGCAUAGACCCCAACAUGAAGCUCAAUCCCACGACGGUGAAAUCACCACCCAGAGGGACCACGUGACCCUCCCCAUUUGCACAUGGGCCGCCGCCUCUGAGGCAGGCUGGGAGAAUUCCUUGUGUGGAAGUCACUGGACUUCAAUCCCAAAGACCUGGAUUUGACUCUGGGAUCAACCACUUCCUAGCAGUGUGAACUGGGCCACAGUAGCUAACCUUUCUGAGACUCAAUGGUCCCAUCUAUAAACUGGAGCAAACGAUGCCUCACCUCGGGGAGGUGAGGGGCCAUCAGAGGAAGCACGCAGCCCCAGGAGGGAUUGAUUCACAGAUGCGGCUUCGUGCCCCGCUUCCUCUCCACGGCUCCGGUGCCGAAAUCCGAGGUCACACGACAUCGCUGUCAGAACAAGUCCACGCCGCCGCCAUCCUAUCUGAGAGGCCUGCGCCAGGGCGGCCUUGGCUCCUGAGCCUGCCCUGGUGUAGGGUUCUCGGUGGCACUAUUUUUGGCAGAUUUUUUUUUUUUUUUUUUUUUUUAUCCUUGCUCUUUAUCACAAGCCUGUCGGGCAAAUGACAGAGGAAUUGCAAGCUUGAAUGGGCUUGUCUGACAGGCCAACUUUCAUCCCGGGUGCUGCUGCCUGACUUUGAAAAAGGAACUCUGGGCAGAAGAGAGUAAUUUCACACUGAUUCCUCGCCAUAAUUUGCUUUGGGGUUGAAAACGUCGCGUUUCAAUCAUCCCCGCUUCGCGCUGCAGGGGAGAAGACGGGCCACGCGUGCAGGUGACGCGUUUGCCGCGGGCCCGCACCGAGACGACUGCCUGGCUCUGAAGCAACAGCCCUGAGACACACGGGCGGGCGCGCCAAGGAGCUCUCCGCCAGCCACAAACGAGUGCCUUCAGAGGAGCCCAUAAGAAAUGGGUUCUGGCAGAAAGAGAGAGCCGCCUAGGACGCGGAGCCUCAUAUCGGACACCUCCAUCAUUCAAGAAUCCAUUAGAACGUCUUUCUCCCCCAGGCCCACGUUCCGCGGAGGAGUUGGGUGGCUGCAGGCAAACCGCAAACGUAGGAGGGUCCGAGACAAGCGUGCUCAGCGCCGACAGGCGUGAGCUGGGAGGUACGGGAGGGAAGGGGAAAGUGGCAUCCAGGCCAAUGACAGCUGGCGAGGCUGUGCGUGAAGCAUCCGCCGGGGACAAGGACAGGGGCUCGUGGGGAGGUCAGGGGACGUGGUCGUUCCCGGGUCAGCAGCAGGAAGCGGUGACUUCUCCCGCGUCAUAAACCGUCCCGUCCUUCGCCACCUCUCGCCACACUUACUCAAGAGGCCACACUGCCUGAUACCUGCUGAUUUUUCCUGGGAUGGCUUCGAAAUGGUUCACGUCCUUAAUCUUGCUCCUCAACUGGAUUGUAAGCUCUCUGAGGUCAGGAACCCAUACCUAACCCUCUCUGCAUGCCCCGAAGCUCCUUCCUAGGGCUGAGCACAAACCAAGACUCAAUAACCACCCGGAGUCUAUCGGAGACCUUCACACACCGCUGACAAAGAUUCAGCGGUACUGGAGGGUUUGCUCCAGGAUCAGCCAGCGUAUUUCUCAGCGAACGAAUCAAGCUUGUUCUCGGCGGGACAUCAGGCUAUUGACGGUCUAUCCAGCCGGACUUUUGGGCCUUCUUGGCCAUGCCUCACAUGCUGUAGACUCCAGCUAUGUGCAACCGAAUGCUCUUGGCGCCUCUGUGCCUUUGCACAGGCUGAUCCCUUGGCCUGGCUGCCCUUCCCUCAUUCUUCCAUCCAUGGACUUGGCGUUUCGGCUCCAGGUCAACCCGCCCCUUCCCGCAGGGCGGCCAGCAUCCCUUGGGCAGAGCUGGUGAGGCCUCCGCCUGUGGGUCCGGAGUACUUUCCGGAGGCCUGACAGGACAGGUGGCCUGGUGGCCCUGCCACCCAGUUGAUGCUGUCUGCUUGACCGAUCUGCCCCCUUCGUCAUCUCUCAGCUUUGGCUCUCGGCGCAGUGCCUGGCACUUGGUAAAGGUUUAUCGUAUGAAUGUGUCUCCCACAUUUGGCCUAUCAUGGCGACGGCAGUCAGGGCCCAGCAGGUCACGUGGGGACACGGCAAAAGACGUGAGACCAAACGAACGCUUCGGAGGGAAGCAAGGCCCUGGGGCCCUCCCGAUAAGCUGGGGCACCUGGGACCAACCCCCAGCUGUGAGGUUGGGGGAAGUGACACUUGCUUUCCGGAGCCCCGGCCUCAUCUCGGGACCUCACUCCACCUUGUGGGGUUUCGAAAACGUCAUGCAACCUUCUCAUGGCCUUUAGUGACACGGCCGGACCGGGCGAUUAUUCCUGGUCUCCUGCGAUGGGUGUGGGGUGUGACCGGGCAGCAGCAGUGUGUCAGGUGGAGAGGGUGGCGUCAGCCCUGGACGUGGGGGAGGUGGCGAAGAUCGUGGACUCCAGCCUGGCCUCACACCCAGCCCCCACCCCUGCCCCGCCAUGCGACGCGGUGGGAAGGCCUCAGCUUCCCCGCGCAUAAAGGGUGAAGCAACCCCCACGGGGUUGUUCAGAAAGUCGGGCAAAUGGACGCGUGUGAGCAUCGAGGGGGAUGCCCGGCACGUGACGAUGGCUCCUGAAAAGCCAGCCCCCGUCACUUGGAAUUGGAAGAUGAGUGUCAAAUCUGGCUUUCUCCACUUGCAAGUUGUGUGACCUGAGUGGGUCAAGGUGUCUUACCUCUCCGCUCACAUUCUCUGGUUCCUGAGAGGAGGGCAGGACUGCUGCCCUCACUGGCUGUCUUGAGAUGCAAGGAGAUAAUGGGAGGGAAUGUGCUUUGCAAGCCAUGCGUUUUCCUGGGGUAGCUGUGAGUUGCCUGUGCGAAGGCAUUGAGAGGUGAGGAGACCUUGGAGAUCCUGCCACGUGAGAGCUACCCCUUAAUGGAGACAAUGACCGUCUAGUAACCAAACUUGUAAUUUCUGUAAAGCGCAUGCUUUGACAGCCACCUGGGGUUGGGGGGGGGGAGGUCUAUUAGCGACCCGUAGGCAAAACUGUGACUCUCCCAAUGCGAAGUUCGAGUCUGAGGGUCCACUUGGCUGAGCCACGGUUCCCAGACAUGUAGUCAAACAUUAUUCUGGACGUGUCUGUGAGGGUGUAUCUGGAUGAAAUUAACAUUUAAAUCAUUGGACUCUGAUCCAAUGUCCUCUAUAAUGUGGGUGGGCCUCAUCCAAUCAGUUGAAGGCCAGAAUUGAACAAAAGACUGACCCCACCCCCACCCCCACCCCACACACACACCCAUCCCCAUGCAAGAGGUAAUUUUGCCAGCAGACUGUCUCUGGACUUGAACUGUGGCAUUGACUCUUCCCUGGGUCUCUAGCCAGCCAGCCUACUCAGCAGACUUUGGACUUGCCAGCCUCCAUAAUCACCAUAAUUGUGCUAAUUACCUAAAAUCUUUCUCUCUCUCUCUCUCUCUCUCUCUCUCUCUCACACACACACACACACACACACACACACACACACUGUUGGUUCUGUUUCUUUGAAGAACCCUAAUAUACCCAUAAACAUUUGGAGUCCUCAGAUAGCUUUAAACUAUAAACUCUAACAGUCCCAGUGAACACAGAUUUCACAGGGAGGCCAGUUUCAAACACUAGCCGAUCCUAAGCAUGACUUUGUCCUGCCUCGCCUGUUCCCUCCCAUGGAAACCACACAUGCCCCCUCCUUCUGCUCCCUGACCGCCCCCGGUGCUUACCCAGGAGAUCCUGCAUGGUGUCCCGUGCUCUCUCAAGGGAACCGUGACUAUAAUAAAGUCUUUAAAAUUU